GGACCCGUAGCUCAGGUGGAUUGAGAGCGCAGGCUUGCGGAGCCUGAGGUCGCACGUUCGAGUCGUGCCGGGUUCA
This 76-nucleotide transfer RNA is filed under the name Acidobacteriota bacterium. Its description in RNAcentral is "Acidobacteria bacterium (rhizosphere metagenome) tRNA-Arg". It matches the Rfam family "tRNA". From Rfam's summary of the family: Transfer RNA (tRNA) molecules are approximately 80 nucleotides in length. Their secondary structure includes four short double-helical elements and three loops (D, anti-codon, and T loops). Further hydrogen bonds mediate the characteristic L-shaped molecular structure. tRNAs have two regions of fundamental functional importance: the anti-codon, which is responsible for specific mRNA codon recognition, and the 3' end, to which the tRNAs corresponding amino acid is attached (by aminoacyl-tRNA synthetases). tRNAs cope with the degeneracy of the genetic code in two manners: having more than one tRNA (with a specific anti-codon) for a particular amino acid; and 'wobble' base-pairing, i.e. permitting non-standard base-pairing at the 3rd anti-codon position. Lineage: Bacteria; Pseudomonadati; Acidobacteriota. The record is from RNAcentral.